UUAAUUGAAACCAAAAAGAGGUAUAUCACUGUUAAUGAUAAAAUUAAGUUUAACUUCAAUUAAA
RNAcentral lists this transfer RNA (64 nucleotides) under Podagricomela nigricollis. Its description in RNAcentral is "tRNA-Asn". The record is from RNAcentral. Lineage: Eukaryota; Metazoa; Arthropoda; Insecta; Coleoptera; Chrysomelidae.